RNAcentral lists this ribosomal RNA (478 nucleotides) under uncultured bacterium. RNAcentral describes it as "partial 16S ribosomal RNA". It matches the Rfam family "Bacterial small subunit ribosomal RNA", at positions 28 to 523 of the family's 1533-position model. The record is from RNAcentral.
GACGAACGCUGGCGGCGUGCUUAACACAUGCAAGUCGAACGGUAAGGCCCUUCGGGGUACACGAGUGGCGAACGGGUGAGUAACACGUGGGUGAUCUGCCCUGCACUUCGGGAUAAGCCUGGGAAACUGGGUCUAAUACCGGAUAGGACUCCGGACUGCAUGGUCUGGGGUGGAAAGCUUUUGCGGUGUGGGAUGGGCCCGCGGCCUAUCAGCUUGUGGGUGGGGUGAUGGCCUACCAAGGCGACGACGGGUAGCCGGCCUGAGCGGGUGACCGGCCACACUGGGGCUGAGAUACGGCCCAGACUCCUACGGGAGGCAGCAGUGGGGAAUAUUGCACAAUGGGCGCAAGCCUGAUGCAGCGACGCCGUGUGAGGGAUGACGGCCUUCGGGUUGUAAACCUCUUUCAGCAUCGACGAAGCGAAAGUGACGGUAGGUGCAGAAGAAGGACCGGCCAACUACGUGCCAGCAGCCGCGGUAA